This is a long non-coding RNA of Sapajus apella (tufted capuchin), 463 nucleotides long. RefSeq lists it as uncharacterized. The transcript is spliced from 3 exons. NCBI's taxonomy places the organism in Eukaryota, Metazoa, Chordata, Mammalia, Primates, Cebidae. The record is from RefSeq and is a predicted model, not a curated record.
AUCUCUGUGCACAGUGGGGCAGGCAGGAUGGGGGAUUGGGGGAUGGAUCAGGAAAAAAGUUGGACUUUUUCUUUGGGAGCAGGGGAACUAGGAGAAUCAUAGAAGAAAACAAGCUUGGGGAGAGGAGGUCACAUUUCAAAAAUCACAUGGCCAGUAAGUUGAAGGUUUUGGAUUCAAACCCAGGAAGUCUCAACACAGAGCCCUAUCUCUUCACCAUCUAACAAGCCAGAUAUUGUCCUCAUUCUCUAGAGGAAGCAUCAGCAGGAGACAGUUGAUCCUUUGACAUUGCUGUGUGUGGAUUUGAGGUCUGGGGAUGUUGCAGCCCCCUCGCAACCACCUUGUUGUGACACUAGUGCAGGGGUGGGAAUGGCCCGGAGAAUCACAGAGACCACUGGAUAAAGCCAAUCCUGAAGCUUCCGGCUCUGUGGGCCAACAGAUGUCCUUAUUGUCCCAACAGUCUGAG